CCUCGGUGAGCAGCCGCACGCCGGCCAUCUCCUCGACCACCCCCAUCCAGUGCGCGAGCGCCCCGCCGACGGCGAUGUCGAGGAAGCCGAUGGCGUCGCCGCCGAAGAACCUCUUCCCCUCCGGCAGCUGCGCCUCCAGCAGCGUCAGGUUCGCCUUCGUCUCCUUCGCCGACGCCGCCUGCGCCUCGCCGUCCGUCCACAGCGCGAUCCACAGAGGCUUCUUGAACUGCGCACGCAUGUAGCAGAAUCGUCGAGUGAAAACUGAAAUCUGAAAGUUGGAUGCUGAAUUACUGCGGUUGUUAUAUUGUACCUUCUCUUCUAGGAAUCUUGCCCAGAAGCGGGCGUUGGCGCGGGCGAGGGGGUCUACGGGAAGGAGCGGCGGGCCGCCGGGGAAGGCCUCGUCGAUGUACUCGACGAUGACGAGCGAGUCCGGGAUGGAGCGGUGGCCGUGGAGGAGCACGGGGACGGUC
RNAcentral lists this long non-coding RNA (470 nucleotides) under Hordeum vulgare. RNAcentral's name for it is "long non-coding RNA (HVUL_LNC008194)". The record is from RNAcentral. Lineage: Eukaryota; Viridiplantae; Streptophyta; Magnoliopsida; Poales; Poaceae.